Corvus hawaiiensis (hawaiian crow) is the source of this 116-nucleotide long non-coding RNA. RefSeq lists it as uncharacterized. Lineage: Eukaryota; Metazoa; Chordata; Aves; Passeriformes; Corvidae. The transcript is spliced from 3 exons. The record is from RefSeq and is a predicted model, not a curated record.
GGCUACCAGGGAUGGGCAUCUGCAACAUCUCUGGGCAAACCAUUUCAGAGCCUCACCACCCUCACAGUAAAGAAUUUCUUCCUAAUAUCUAAUCUAAACCUGCUCUCUUUCAGUUU